Molecule: ribosomal RNA, 436 nt
Filed under: Salmonella enterica subsp. enterica
Lineage: Bacteria; Pseudomonadati; Pseudomonadota; Gammaproteobacteria; Enterobacterales; Enterobacteriaceae
Also listed under: 3 other names
Description: bacterial SSU rRNA
Rfam family: Bacterial small subunit ribosomal RNA
Source: RNAcentral
CCUUUGUUGCCAGCGAUUAGGUCGGGAACUCAAAGGAGACUGCCAGUGAUAAACUGGAGGAAGGUGGGGAUGACGUCAAGUCAUCAUGGCCCUUACGACCAGGGCUACACACGUGCUACAAUGGCGCAUACAAAGAGAAGCGACCUCGCGAGAGCAAGCGGACCUCAUAAAGUGCGUCGUAGUCCGGAUUGGAGUCUGCAACUCGACUCCAUGAAGUCGGAAUCGCUAGUAAUCGUGGAUCAGAAUGCCACGGUGAAUACGUUCCCGGGCCUUGUACACACCGCCCGUCACACCAUGGGAGUGGGUUGCAAAAGAAGUAGGUAGCUUAACCUUCGGGAGGGCGCUUACCACUUUGUGAUUCAUGACUGGGGUGAAGUCGUAACAAGGUAACCGUAGGGGAACCUGCGGUUGGAUCACCUCCUUACCUUAAAGAAGC